This is a long non-coding RNA of Microplitis demolitor, 549 nucleotides long. RefSeq lists it as uncharacterized. The record is from RefSeq and is a predicted model, not a curated record. NCBI's taxonomy places the organism in Eukaryota, Metazoa, Arthropoda, Insecta, Hymenoptera, Braconidae. The transcript has 3 exons.
UUGAUUUGUACUUCAUUUGGUGUAAUAUAUAAGCUGUGGAAUGUAUAUAUAUUGAUAUUGACCAAUUUUGCUUUUAAAUUUUCUUGCAUUUGUUGCAUUGGCUACAUUUUCGUUCGGAUCUCUCUUAGGCACCCCUCUUAGGCACCCCAAAUAGCAGGAAGUCUCGCGGGAAUUCAAAUUUAACUUUAGACAGACUUUUAUUUCUUUUUUUAAAUGUAACUUUUAAAUAUACAUAUCAAGUUUUUUUUUAUAAAUGAUAAUUGAGGGCAAUAAUAAUAAUUAUUAUGUUUUUUUUUAAUUGUAUAAAAACAUUGAAUAGAAAUAAUUUCGAAAAUAUUUAGGUGUGUUGCUUAAGCAGCAGCUUAUCUUAUUCCUCGACAUUGAUCUUGAGCAGUGAAUUAACGGGAGGUAUAUUUUUUUAUCAAACUCUGCUAUGGAUACUAUUCUAUCGGCUAGAUUAUAGCUUUUUGAAGCAGGGACGAAAAUGUUUGAUUAACUUCGUGGCAAAGUAUUUCCGCGGAUUUAUCACCGAGUGCGGCUUGUGCUGAG